ACAUAGUUGGCUUAUACUAAUCAGAUUGGCAGUUAGGCCUUUUACAAGGAGAACAUUUUCAAGUUUUGGUAGACCAUUGUCAAUCAGUCUUCCAAUACCUCUGAUUUCCCCCUUUGCUCCAUCUCCAAAUGUCACAAAGCUUGUGGCAUAGGAUUUUACUUCUUUUAAAUACUUUUCAACACCAGUCAUGUGUCUGGAACAACCACUAUCAAAGUACCAAUCUUCUUUUGAU
Molecule: long non-coding RNA, 232 nt
Filed under: Trifolium pratense (red clover)
Lineage: Eukaryota; Viridiplantae; Streptophyta; Magnoliopsida; Fabales; Fabaceae
Description: long non-coding RNA (TPRA_LNC006715)
Source: RNAcentral